Molecule: long non-coding RNA, 711 nt
Filed under: Nicotiana tabacum (common tobacco)
Lineage: Eukaryota; Viridiplantae; Streptophyta; Magnoliopsida; Solanales; Solanaceae
Description: long non-coding RNA (NTAB_LNC000043)
Source: RNAcentral
UUCCUUUUAUUCUGGAUUGAGCCUUCUUCUUUUGGUCAUCUCGGACUGUCGACUUGCAUUCUUGAAGCGAGCUUCUGUACUUCUAACUUGAAUUGAAUUCUGAAAUGACUUCCCUCGUUCUUCAGGUGGGUGCCUGCAACUGACUUGAAAUUUGAAAUGAAUUCCCUCGUUCUCCAGGUGGGCGCCUGAUGACCUAAAACUUGAAAUAAAUUCCCUCGUUCUCCAGGUGGGCGCCUGAUGACUUAAAACUUGAUAUAAAUUCCCUCAUUCUCCAGGUGGGCGCCUGAUGACUUACACUUGAAAUGAAUUCCCUCAUUCUCCAGGUGGGCGCCUGAUGCUGACUUAAAACUUGAAAUAAAUUCCCUCAUUCUCCAGGUGGGCACCUGCUGACUUAAAAACUUGAAAUGAAUUCUCUCGUUUUCUAGGUGGGUGCCUGAUGUUGACUUACACUUGAAAUGAAUUCUCUCGUUCUCCAGGUAGGCGCCUGAUGACUUAAAACUUGAAAUACAUUCCCUCGUUCUCCAGGUAGGCGCCUGAUGACUUAAAAGUUGAUAUAAAUUCCCUCAUUCUCCAGGUGGGCGCCUGAUGACUUACACUUGAAAUGAAUUUCCUCAUUCUCCAGGUGGGCGCCUGAUGCUGACUUAAAACUUGAAAUAAAUUCCCUCAUUCUCCAGGUGGGCGCCUGCUGACUUAAAAACUUGAAAUGAAUUC